This 343-nucleotide ribosomal RNA is filed under the name uncultured fungus. RNAcentral describes it as "SSU rRNA". It matches the Rfam family "Eukaryotic small subunit ribosomal RNA", at positions 292 to 636 of the family's 1831-position model. Lineage: Eukaryota; Fungi. The record is from RNAcentral.
GGUUCAUUCAAAUUUCUGCCCUAUCAACUUUCGACGGCAGGGUCUUGGCCUGCCAUGGUGACAACGGGUAACGGAGGUUAGGGCUCGACCCCGGAGAAGGAGCCUGAGAAACGGCUACUACAUCCAAGGAAGGCAGCAGGCGCGCAAAUUACCCAAUCCCGACCGGGGAGGUAGUGACAAUAAAUACUGAUACAGGGCUCUUUUGGGUCUUGUAAUUGGAAUGAGUACAAUUUAAAUCCCUUAACGAGGAACAAUUGGAGGGCAAGUCUGGUGCCAGCAGCCGCGGUAAUUCCAGCUCCAAUAGCGUAUAUUAAAGUGGUUGAGGUUAAAAAGCUCGUAGUUG